CAUCUGCUGCCAUUCCAAGGCUGCACUGUGAACCAGACAGAAAUCCCCAUGUCAGACUGAAAGUGCCUCGCCCCUACCCUACCUUCCACUUCUUGGACACAGUAAGUUUUAACUCUGUGACCUCCACCCACGUGAACGGAAGCAACACUGUCCCUACUCAAGCCAAGGAGAGAGAGAGCCUACCUGCACAUUAUCAGAAAGAUGGAUAAGUGUAUAGGACACAGAGAAUGAAGUCACAUUGAAAAUGAGAGAACCAAAGCAAUAUAUAAAAAAAUGUUUUAAAAUCCUCUGAGUGGACAACCGUCCUAUAAGAAGCAAAAGCAAACCUCUGGAGGUGUGCAUGCUGGCUGGUGAGCUUCCUCGGAGCAGGAGAGGGCACGCACAGAACAACUUCGGAGAACUAAGGAGGAGAUAAGCCAUCCACAGGAAGGUUUUGCUUCAAAAUCAGAAGAACCAAGUCAUCAGAGGCCUUCAAUCCCGGUUCGAGAACUGCAGUCACCCACUGGACAACACUUAUGCUUAUCAAGGCUUCUGAAUAACCGUGGAAAGACAUAUGAAGAACUACUGAAGGACUAUGCACAAGAGGUUCAGUGGGAAACAACAGCUGUUACGGCGAUGCAGAGACAGGGAGAGCGGAUGAGAGGAGCAGCUCAGAUCCAAGGAGUUACAUGAGCUUGGACAAUUCCCUCCACUCAUUUCCUACAAUGGCCAGCACAUCCCAAGGAAGCAAAAGUUAUAAAUGUAGGCCACGGGGAUUUCUUUUUACUUGAGAAAUGUAACUAAAUCCUGAACACAAAAGUCAGUGCUUCAGGUGAAUUAAACUUUUAGAAAUUAUGGAUUUACCUGACAGAAAUUUACUUAACGGAAAUAGAUAAUUUCUUCGUCAAAAUGUACAAACAUUUGCUUUUGUUUGUUUCUUGGCCUUCCCAAUGCUAUGAUUUUUUAAUACCAUUCCUCAUGUUGUGGUGACCAUGAAUAAAAAAAUAUAUAUGUAUAUGUAUGUAUAUAUAUGUAUGUGUAUGUAUAUAUAUAUGUGUAUGUAUGUGUAUAUAUGCAUAUGUAUAUAUAUAUAUAUAUCAUUGUUACUUAACUGUAAUUUUGCUCCUGUUGUGAGUCAUAAAGUAAGUAUCUG
Rattus norvegicus (Norway rat) is the source of this 1132-nucleotide non-coding RNA. NCBI's taxonomy places the organism in Eukaryota, Metazoa, Chordata, Mammalia, Rodentia, Muridae. The record is from RefSeq and is a predicted model, not a curated record.